CCUACGGGUGGCAGCAGUGAGGAAUAUUGGGCAAUGGCCGAGAGGCUGAACCAGCCAAGUCGCGUGAGGGAAGACGGCCCUACGGGUUGUAAACCUCUUUUGUCGGGGAGCAAAGCGAGUCACGUGUGAAUCAUUGAGAGUACCCGAAGAAAAAGCAUCGGCUAACUCCGUGCCAGCAGCCGCGGUAAUACGGAGGAUGCGAGCGUUAUCCGGAUUUAUUGGGUUGAAAGGGUGGGCAGGAGGAGGUGCAAGUCAGCGGUAAAAUUGGGGGGCUCAACCCCGUACUGCCGUUGAAACUGCAUCCCUUGAGUGCGCGAGAAGUAUGCGGAAUGCGUGGUGUAGCGGUGAAAUGCAUAGAUAUCACGCAGAACUCCGAUUGCGAAGGCAGCAUACCGGCGCGCAACUGACGCUCAUGCACGAAAGCGUGGGUAUCGAACAGGAUUAGAUACCCUUGUAGUC
Molecule: ribosomal RNA, 459 nt
Filed under: uncultured bacterium
Lineage: Bacteria
Description: partial 16S ribosomal RNA
Rfam family: Bacterial small subunit ribosomal RNA
Source: RNAcentral